AGGAGCAGACUGAUUUUUGUGUACAACCUGGCUUCUUCUAGAAAGGGUUUGCGUUCAGUUUAUGGCUAGUUGUUGGGGUGCUGGAUGAUGCGCAGGCACGGGUCACCAAUGCUUUUUAUGAUCCAUGGAACGUGCCCUUCUAUCCAUAGCUGAAUCUGAAGGAUACAUGAAGUAUGAGGGCUGGUAACUGAUAAUGUAUUUAUUUGGUUAUUCAAAGCUACUCCCUCCGUAACCAAAUUCGGAGGGAGUAUGCAACACUCUUUGUUCAAUUACUACUUAUCUAAGAAUUUCAUUCUACAAUACUUUUUUUAAAUUCACUCAAA
This is a long non-coding RNA of Aegilops tauschii subsp. strangulata, 323 nucleotides long. RefSeq lists it as uncharacterized. The record is from RefSeq and is a predicted model, not a curated record. NCBI's taxonomy places the organism in Eukaryota, Viridiplantae, Streptophyta, Magnoliopsida, Poales, Poaceae.